CAGCCGCCACGGUAAUACAGAGGGUGCGAGCGUUAAUCGGAUUUACUGGGCGUAAAGCGUGCGUAGGCGGCUAAUUGAGUCGGAUGUGAAAUCCCCGAGCUUAACUUGGGAAUUGCAUUCGAUACUGGUUAGCUAGAGUGUGGGAGAGGAUGGUAGAAUUCCAGGUGUAGCGGUGAAAUGCGUAGAGAUCUGGAGGAAUACCGAUGGCGAAGGCAGCCAUCUGGCCUAACACUGACGCUGAGGUACGAAAGCAUGGGGAGCAAACAGGAUUAGAUACCCGGGUAGUCCCUGUCUCUUAUAU
Molecule: ribosomal RNA, 301 nt
Filed under: uncultured bacterium
Lineage: Bacteria
Description: partial 16S ribosomal RNA
Rfam family: Bacterial small subunit ribosomal RNA
Source: RNAcentral